This 253-nucleotide ribosomal RNA is filed under the name uncultured bacterium. Its description in RNAcentral is "partial 16S ribosomal RNA". It matches the Rfam family "Bacterial small subunit ribosomal RNA", at positions 524 to 776 of the family's 1533-position model. The record is from RNAcentral.
UACGAACCGAGCGAACGUUGUUCGGAAUCACUGGGCUUAAAGGGCGCGUAGGCGGGCUAUCAAGUCUGGGGUGAAAUCCCACGGCUCAACCGUGGAACUGCCUCAGAUACUGACGGCCUCGAGGGAGGUAGGGGCAUGCGGAACUGUAGGUGGAGCGGUGAAAUGCGUUGAUAUCUACAGGAACUCCGGUGGCGAAAGCGGCGUGCUGGACCUCUUCUGACGCUGAGGCGCGAAAGCUAGGGGAGCAAACGGG